This 213-nucleotide unclassified non-coding RNA is filed under the name Glomeraceae sp. RNAcentral describes it as "partial contains 5.8S ribosomal RNA and internal transcribed spacer 2". The stretch from base 1 to 65 matches the Rfam family "5.8S ribosomal RNA", at positions 84 to 154 of the family's 154-position model. The record is from RNAcentral. Lineage: Eukaryota; Fungi; Glomeromycota; Glomeromycetes; Glomerales; Glomeraceae.
GUGAAUCAUCGAAUUUUUGAACGCAAAUUGCACUCUCCUCGGAGAGUAUGCCUGUUUGAGGGUCAGCCUAAAAAAAAUCGAAAUUGUUUGCUGUUCGGGGUGAAGGUUGGUGGGAAUUGGGUUAAUUUUAAACUUUUGGGUUUAGGGGAUUAAAAUUUUUCUUUUGGUUUCAUGGAAGGUUUCAAGGAUUAAUUCUUUUAAAGGUUUAGGUAU